Molecule: long non-coding RNA, 1064 nt
Organism: Oncorhynchus tshawytscha (Chinook salmon)
Lineage: Eukaryota; Metazoa; Chordata; Actinopteri; Salmoniformes; Salmonidae
Source: Ensembl
GCCACACUAUGGAGCGCGUCUGUCAGCUACUGAAUUCAGGGGGAAACGGUUGAGCUGCAGGUUCUCUGGUCAUUAUGUCCCGAUGGAGGGUUGAUAUGCUGCUCCGUUAGUAACCGGUAAAGCCUUGAGGGGGGAGUCAGGUUCUCCCACUCAGCAAGAUGUUGAUUGAUUUCCUGUCUAUAUACAGGUCCGUCAAAAGGAGCAUGAAAUCUGACAAGCCUAAUGGAAACUAAUAGGUCAACCAUAAGGGAAUGAAUAGCUUUACCAUAAUUCGGUGUGGUUCAGUAAUGUAGAACAUGUAGCCAUGACUACUGCUUUAGUUAUCAGAUACAUUAACGUGAACCAUGCAUCUGGAUACAGUCUAACCCUGAAGCAUUUGACAUUGAUCUACAGAGCAUGACUCAAUUAUGUUCUACUUACUCUACUACACCCAAACUUGCUCUAUAGUCUCUAGACUAGUGCUAAACAAUACACAGAAGAUGCAGAAGUCCAGUUUGUCUCUUUAUUCAGAAUAAUAAGUGUAAAUUAUAAUACAAGCAACCAGUUAAGACAUUCAGAAUGGAUGGAACAGUAACAUACAGUAAUCUCCCAGAGUGGUUACUAUGGUGAUGGAGUACAGCGCGCGAGAGAGAGAGAGAAAGAGAGAGAGAGAGAGGGGAUGAGGGGUCAUUCACAACACUAGCUCACAUGUCAACAUGUAAAGGAGAGAACUAUAUACACUCUAAUGCCUCAGAUGUCAUAUGCUGUCACACACACACGACCUGCAGUAUAUUGUCUGCACGCACAGAUAUGAACACUCAGGCACAUGCUUGUGGAGAAAAACAUGAGUACAGACAGAGACGGGCCCACACACUGGCACACAGAGGCAGAUGCAAAAGUCAAUAAACAAUCUAGCUACGGCCACACAGCAUCCUCCCUUUGUGACUGAGGAGAGAGGGGGUUGCUGCAUGCUGUCUGCCAGGGACAGAGGGAGGGGGGGAGAGGGGGUUGCUGCAUGCUGUCUGCCAGGGACAGAGGGAGGAGAGGAGAGAGGGGGUUGCUGCAUGCUGUCUGCCAGGGAGGGA